RNAcentral lists this long non-coding RNA (467 nucleotides) under Homo sapiens (human). RNAcentral's name for it is "HSALNT0373340". The record is from RNAcentral. Lineage: Eukaryota; Metazoa; Chordata; Mammalia; Primates; Hominidae.
AAAAGGAGAAGCAGCAACGGCUGCUCUGCUUCCUUCCCAUCUCGCUCUUGGGUCAUGCCUGGCCAGCAGAAAGCAGCUCCAUAGGGGAGGAGAGCCACGCAGGAUCUCACAGCUGCAGUCUAAUAGUAACACAGAGGUGGAGAUAAAAUGAGUAAUCGCCACUCUCUCUGCAUUCUUCACGAUGCCUUAGUGGAAGGCAGGAGAAGCCCUGGGACCAAAAUGCGUUUACCACCUGACACAAGCACUGAGAACAGCAGCAGGUUUACAGGUGUCCAAUCAUUCAGUUUCCAGCAUGCUUUCACAUACACGCCCUCCUCAGCCCCACCCUCUUCAACAUAAGUAGCAGAAUUUUAAAAGAAUUCAACAUGGUCAGAUUUUGCAAAGACAAUCUCCAGUCAUGAUCUUGGUAAAUACAUUGUAAUUCCUUACUUCAAAAUUUCCAUAUAAAUUCUGUAAGUAUAAUGGAG